This 253-nucleotide ribosomal RNA is filed under the name uncultured bacterium. Its description in RNAcentral is "partial 16S ribosomal RNA". It matches the Rfam family "Bacterial small subunit ribosomal RNA", at positions 524 to 776 of the family's 1533-position model. The record is from RNAcentral.
GACGAACCGAGCGAACGUUGUUCGGAAUCACUGGGCUUAAAGGGCGCGUAGGCGGGUGCUCAAGGCCGGGGUGAAAUCCCACAGCUCAACUGUGGAACUGCCUCGGAUACUGGGUGUCUCGAGGGUGGCAGGGGUAUGCGGAACUAUUGGUGGAGCGGUGAAAUGCGUUGAUAUCAAUAGGAACUCCGGUGGCGAAGGCGGCAUACUGGUCCACUUCUGACGCUGAGGCGCGAAAGCCAGGGGAGCAAACGGG